This 1353-nucleotide long non-coding RNA is filed under the name Manihot esculenta (cassava). RNAcentral describes it as "long non-coding RNA (MESC_LNC008504)". Lineage: Eukaryota; Viridiplantae; Streptophyta; Magnoliopsida; Malpighiales; Euphorbiaceae. The record is from RNAcentral.
CAUCCCUUGAGAAAUCUGUAGUAAAUAGUUAUGAGAUUGAUAUAAGAGUGGCAUAUUGAUAUCAGUUUUAAUGGAUGAGUAGAUAAAAAACACAGCAUUCGUGGAUUGGAUAAUAGACAAAUCAGCAAUGAACUAAACAAGUUUCACCAAGCAUAGAUAAGAUGCAGAACAUAUGUGGAUAGCUGAUGAGUCCUUCAAACGUGGAUGGGAUACCUGCAUGUCAAAACAAAGAAAAUUCUGCAAUACUUGUCAAGUUCCUAAAGCUCUCUCACUCCUCUGCAUUAGAUUGUGUAAAGAAAAUAAAAGAUUUAACUGUCCCACUAUAUGCAAUGUUCAUAAUAAAACCAUCGUGUUAAAAUUUCUUCCUUGUGCAUGUCUAGCUUCACAAUUUCUAGAGCUCUCAACCCAUAAAAUAACCAUAAAUAUAAACAACAAUUUAAUCCUUGUUUUAUUAUUUUUUGAGUAUCCAUUUGGUUCUUACAAUUUUGAUAAGAAGAAUUGUAUCCAUUCAAUUUGAUAUGCUGGAAACAGAAGUUUUACCGGUAGAUUGUAAUUUUGUUUGCAAUUGAAUUAAAAUUAUGAUCAUGCCAAAAAUCACCUUUCCAGUAGAAUCUAUUAGCUCUUAUCUUCUGUUCUUUGAAAUCUAAAGUUCAAAAUAAAAAAUAUCUCAAAUUAUUAACCAAAAUAUUUUUACGGACAAGAUUAAACCAAAUAUUUUAUUUUUAUUAAAUUUAGGUUCUUUAAUAAAAUUAAUACGACUCAUUUAAAAAUCAAAUUAACCAUAUACAUUAAUCGAUCCUUUUUCUCCCCAACUGACUGUCUAUAUUGAAUUAAUCAAUCAAUAUACUAAAAAAGAAAGCCCAAAAUACUUGAAAAUCACAAUUAGACCUAACUCCGAGUGAAACCAAAAGAAUUUGGGGAAAAGCAUAUGGAGGCUCAGAUUCGCCUUUUAUCAGACAAGAAAAGGAACACAAUGGCUAUGGCUGCAACAAAGAAGAUCUCCAUGAAGGCAGGCAAAGCCAUCUCCACAGAAAUACAUAGAUAUCGCCCCGCCAAAAAUUCAAAGCGUUCUUUAACGUCUGAUUUUCGCACUCAGAAAAAAAAAAUCAUCACAGCCUCUUCCGAUUCGAUUUCGUAAAUAAAGCAGCAGCAGCAGAAGAUGAUAAAUAAACAAAUAAAUAAACAUAUAGAGCGGUUGAUUUUACAGAAGCGGCGUUGAAAUCAUCGGCUCCGCAUGCAUUCGGAGAGGCUGGCAACCACCCUACCAAGAAAACCCGUCCGCCUGUCCGAGAGCAAAGCCUCAUUCUUAAACUAAGGAGCGCUUAAUUAUUAUUAUUAUUAUUAUUACUAAUA